Chiroxiphia lanceolata (lance-tailed manakin) is the source of this 177-nucleotide long non-coding RNA. RefSeq lists it as uncharacterized. NCBI's taxonomy places the organism in Eukaryota, Metazoa, Chordata, Aves, Passeriformes, Pipridae. The transcript has 3 exons. The record is from RefSeq and is a predicted model, not a curated record.
ACAUUUUUCCCUCAGGUGGCAGGAGAGAAGCUUUUCCUGAGGUGUCAAGAGAGAUGCUUUCCCUCAGGUGACAGUAGUUUUCCCUCAGUGCUGAGCUAAUAUGUCCACUGUAAUCAUCGUAGAUUCCCACGGAAGGAUGAGACAUGGAUUGCUACAAGGAAAAACAAUGCUGUAUCU